UAUCGUGGCGACAAACUACAAAAGUCAGAUUUGGAACUCACAACAUGAUCAAUCCCAACGACUUUCUGUCACUUGGAAUUCUUGAAUCAGAAUUCUUGGAAGAGUCACGUUCCUUGUUACUCAACGCCCUCUUGAGUAGGUCUUUUGACUUCUCCUUUGCGUAGGAAAACCUCAAUAGAGUCGACUUGCUAUAUGAACCCAAUUAGCAAAUUAGGGAAACCGUCUUCAAAUUUAUAUUUUUCGAUAUAAUAAUUGACAAAAUCGGAAAAAACAAGCUCCAACCAUGAAAAACCUUGCCACCCUCUUCCACGCUCACUUAUUUUUGAAUAAGCUACUAAAAACUUUGUGUCCCUCUUUCAACUGUCACUUCUUUGGAUUUUAAGGUUUUACCUUCACCCUCUACUCACCCUCGAAAUUGAGAAUCUAUUCGGCUCAAAGUCUGCCCAUUGUUGAAAGUACAGAUGAUUCAAAUCUUGUUAAUCACUCUUUGCUAUUCACAUCAAUAGUCUUCCCAAGUGAUUCUCAAUGAACCAGCUAAAUGCAACUAAGAUAGCUAAUUAGCAUUUGCAAUAAUCAUUUAGCAGAAGACAACAAGAAUAUCACAAAGUUAAGGUUUUUUUUUUCUCGCUCCGCAUAAAUGCAACAAUAAUUGCCAUUUGUGUCCUUUUAAGUUUAUAUAAAUUAAUUAACCAAGGAUUAGGAUGAAUUCUUCGAGAGGACCAUGUUGCAAAUUUUCUUUAACAGCGCAUAAAGUAGGUCUAUCCAAUAGUUUUAAACCAGUUAAAAGGUCCUUUUGUAUUGUUUAAUGAAGUCCCAAGAGCACAAGUGUAGAACCAUUAUACAAGUAAUUAUCACCUACUUGUUAUUUUUAGUAUGGAGUUCUCCUUAAAUUGCUAUUUAUAGUUCAAACAAGAAGAAGUAUAAUGCAAUAAGUGCAUCUAUGUUUCCCAACAUGAAGACCUCUUCUAUAACAACACUCCUCUUCUUAGCUGUCCUGCUAUUUGCAUUUGGGUUAAAAUCAGGGGAAUGCCAACUAUGCUCUUAUGGAACGGUGGAAAUGGAGAGAUGCUCAAUCCCUCAAUGUGCUUCAGACUGCCGGACUAAAGUCCAACAUUCAACAGGGAAAUGCAUUGCUAUCGACACUUGCUGUUGUGUCGCAAGAGCCCAAACACAUAAUUAAUUCUCUUAUUUCCUAUCAAGUGUUGUGUCUUCAGUUGUAAGUGAGUGAAUUAUGGUGUAUCUCUCUCUUUUUGAAACAUCCAGGGCCCUUUUUUGGUUUUAUUUUUUGAGUGUGUUAAUAUUGAUGUACUUUUAAAACUUUUAUAAUAAUCAUGUAAUGAGACUUUUUCUUGUCUUUUGUUUUUAAUGUUUGGGGGUUUACUUAGGAUGGUCCC
Molecule: long non-coding RNA, 1394 nt
Organism: Beta vulgaris subsp. vulgaris (sugar beet)
Lineage: Eukaryota; Viridiplantae; Streptophyta; Magnoliopsida; Caryophyllales; Amaranthaceae
Exons: 2
Source: RefSeq, a predicted model, not a curated record